This 1148-nucleotide long non-coding RNA is filed under the name Phasianus colchicus (ring-necked pheasant). Its description in RNAcentral is "lncRNA (ENSPCLG00000020287.1)". Lineage: Eukaryota; Metazoa; Chordata; Aves; Galliformes; Phasianidae. The record is from RNAcentral.
GCCGCUCCGGACGGCGUUGCUGCGGGGUUCGUGCGGGGCGGCGUUGCGGGAUCCUCCGUUAUUCCUCCGGGACUCCCCGGUUCUGUCCGUCGCUGAUUGGCGGUUCUUUGUUUCCUCCUCGUUUUUGAACGGCCGCCCCUCCGCUUCUCCGCUCCGCCCCGCCGCGCUCCGCACCGCCGGUUCCGUCGGGAUGGGUUCGGCGUUGCGGGGCGCUGCGGGGUUGCGGGCGCUGUUGGCGCUGUUGGCGCUGAACGCUGCCGGUGCGGUUCGGAAGGAGCUGCAAGGUAAGAGAAUCCGGUACCGCGCCGGACCGACGAACGGAACCGCCCGAACCGAUGGGGCGAUCGAGAGCCGCUGGCGGGGAGGCGGGGAGGUGGCGGCGGUUCGUCGUCCUGCCGUGUCCGGACCGGGGGGUGUCGGUGUCGGUCCCGGUCCGGUGUCGGUGAGGCAGGGAGGUGGUAGCGGUUCUUCGUCACGCUGUGCCCGUACCGGGUGGUGUCGGUCCCGGUCCCGGUGUCCAUCCUGGUGUCAGUCCCGAUGUCGGUCCCGGUCCCGGUGUCGGUCCCGGUGCAGCGGGGAGGUGGUGGCGGUUCGCUGUUCUGCUGUGCCCGCACCGAGGGCUGUCGGUCCCGGUAUCGGUCCUGGUGUCGGUCCUCAUGUCGGUGUCGGUCCUGGUGUCCACCCGGUGUUGGUCCCGGUUCCCGUGUCGGUCCCGGUCCUGUUAUCGAUCCUGGUCCCGGUCCCGAUGUCGGUCCCGGUCCUGUUGUCGGUCCCGGUCCUGUUGUCGGUCCUGGUUCCGGUCUCCGUGUCCGUCCCGGUCCUGUUGUCGGUCCUGUUAUCGGUCCCGGUCCUGUUGUCGGUCCGGGUCCCGGUGUCGGUCCCGGUCCUGUUGUCGGUCCUGGUUUCGGUCUCCGUGUCCGUCCCGUUCCUGUUGUCGGUCCGGUGUCGGUCCUGUUGUCGGUCCGGGUCCCGAUGUCGGUCCCGGUCCCGGUCCGGUGCCGUUGGCGGCCGCCGCCUGGGAGGUCCGACAGCACAGACGAGCAUUCAUGACCGGACCCCCCCACCCCCCCCCCAACUUUGCGGGUCACCGCAGCUCCGGGACGGUUUGGGGUUUUGGGUUUGGGGGGGGGCGGUUCCGUUUAUUGGGA